AACGAACGCUGGCGGCAUGCCUAACACAUGCAAGUCGGACGAGACCUUCGGGUCUAGUGGCGCACGGGUGCGUAACGCGUGGGAACCUGCCCUUAGGUUCGGAAUAACUCCCCGAAAGGGGUGCUAAUACCGGAUAAUGUCUUCGGACCAAAGAUUUAUCGCCUUUGGAUGGGCCCGCGUUGGAUUAGCUAGUUGGUAGGGUAAAAGCCUAUCAAGGCGACGAUCCAUAGCUGGUCUGAGAGGAUGAUCAGCCACACUGGGACUGAGACACGGCCCAGACUCCUACGGGAGGCAGCAGUGGGGAAUAUUGGACAAUGGGCGAAAGCCUGAUCCAGCAAUGCCGCGUGAGUGAUGAAGGCCUUAGGGUUGUAAAGCUCUUUUACCCGGGAUGAUAAUGACAGUACCGGGAGAAUAAGCUCCGGCUAACUCCGUG
This 433-nucleotide ribosomal RNA is filed under the name uncultured bacterium. Its description in RNAcentral is "partial 16S ribosomal RNA". It matches the Rfam family "Bacterial small subunit ribosomal RNA", at positions 29 to 507 of the family's 1533-position model. The record is from RNAcentral.